AGAGCGAACGCUGGCGGCAGGCCUAACACAUGCAAGUCGAGCGCCCAGCAAUGGGAGCGGCAGACGGGAUAGUAACACGUGGGAACGUACCUUUCAGUUCGGAACAACCCAGGGAAACUUGGGCUAAUACCGAAUACGCCCGUAAGGGGAAAGAUUUAUCGCUGAAAGAUCGGCCCGCGUCUGAUUAGCUAGUUGGUGGGGUAAUGGCCCACCAAGGCGACGAUCAGUAGCUGGUCUGAGAGGAUGAUCAGCAUCACUGGGACUGAGACACGGCCCAGACUCCUACGGGAGGCAGCAGUGGGGAAUAUUGGACAAUGGGCGCAAGCCUGAUCCAGCCAUGCCGCGUGGAUGAUGAAGGCCCUAGGGUUGUAAAGUCCUUUCGGCGGGGAAGAUAAUGACGGUACCCGCAGAAGAAGCCCGGCUAACUUCGUGCCAGCAGCCGC
RNAcentral lists this ribosomal RNA (443 nucleotides) under uncultured bacterium. RNAcentral's name for it is "SSU rRNA". It matches the Rfam family "Bacterial small subunit ribosomal RNA", at positions 26 to 518 of the family's 1533-position model. The record is from RNAcentral.